AACGAACGCUGGCGGCAUGCCUAACACAUGCAAGUCGAACGAGACCUUCGGGUCUAGUGGCGCACGGGUGCGUAACGCGUGGGAACCUGCCCUUAGGUUCGGAAUAACUCCCCGAAAGGGGUGCUAAUACCGGAUAAUGUCCUCGGACCCAAGAUUUAUCGCCUUUGGAUGGGCCCGCGUUGGAUUAGCUGGGUGGGAGGGUAAAAGCCUACCAAGGCGACGCUCGAUAGCUGGUCUGAGAGGAUGGGCCGCCACACUGGGACUGAGACACGGCCCAGACUCCUGCGGGAGGCAGCAGUGCGGAAUAUUGGCCAACGGGCGAAAGCCUGAUCCAGCAAUGCCGCGAGAGUGAUGAAGGCCUUAGGGUUGUAAAGCUCUUUUACCCGGGAUGAUAAUGACAGUACCGGGAGAAUAAGCUCCGGCUAACUCCGUG
Molecule: ribosomal RNA, 433 nt
Filed under: uncultured bacterium
Lineage: Bacteria
Description: partial 16S ribosomal RNA
Rfam family: Bacterial small subunit ribosomal RNA
Source: RNAcentral